GGCUCCGUGGCGCAAUGGAUAGCGCAUUGGACUUCUAGAUUGCAAUUGAAGGCAUUCAAAGGUUGUGGGUUCGAGUCCCACCGGAGUCG
Molecule: transfer RNA, 89 nt
Filed under: Takifugu rubripes (torafugu)
Lineage: Eukaryota; Metazoa; Chordata; Actinopteri; Tetraodontiformes; Tetraodontidae
Also listed under: 3 other names
Rfam family: tRNA
About the family: Transfer RNA (tRNA) molecules are approximately 80 nucleotides in length.
Source: Rfam by way of RNAcentral